AAAUUGAAGAGUUUGAUCAUGGCUCAGAUUGAACGCUGGCGGCAGGCCUAACACAUGCAAGUCGAACGGUAACAGGAAGCAGCUUGCUGCUUCGCUGACGAGUGGCGGACGGGUGAGUAAUGUCUGGGAAACUGCCUGGUGGAGGGGGAUAACUACUGGAAACGGUGGCUAAUACCGCAUAACGUCGCAAGACCAAAGAGGGGGACCUUCGGGCCUCUUGCCAUCAGAUGUGCCCAGAUGGGAUUAGCUUGUUGGUGGGGUAACGGCCCACCAAGGCGACGAUCCCUAGCUGGUCUGAGAGGAUGACCAGCCACACUGGAACUGAGACACGGUCCAGACUCCUACGGGAGGCAGCAGUGGGGAAUAUUGCACACUGGGCGCGAGCCUGAUGCUGCCAUGCCGCGUGUAUGAAGAAGGCCUUCGGGUUGUAAAGUACUUUCAGCGGGGAGGAAGGCGACAAGGUUAAUAACCUUGUUGAUUGACGUUACCCGCAGAAGAAGCACCGGCUAAAUCCGUGCCAGCAGCCGCGGUAAUACGGAGGGUGCAAGCGUUAAUCGGAAUUACUAGGCGUAAAGCGCACGCAGGCGGUCUGUCAAGUCGGAUGUGAAAUCCCCUGGCUCAGCCUGGGAACUGCAUCCGAAACUGGCAGGCUUGAGUCUCGUAGAGGGGGGUAGAAUUCCAGGUGUAGCGGUGAAAUGCGUAGAGAUCUGGAGGAAUACCGGUGGCGAAGGCGGCCCCCUGGACGAAGACUGACGCUCAGGUGCGAAAGCGUGGGGAGCAAACAGGAUUAGAUACCCUGGUAGUCCACGCCGUAAACGAUGUCGACUUGGAGGUUGUGCCCUUGAGGCGUGGCUUCCGGAGCUAACGCGUUAAGUCGACCGCCUGGGGAGUACGGCCGCAAGGUUAAAACUCAAAUGAAUUGACGGGGGCCCGCACAAGCGGUGGAGCAUGUGGUUUAAUUCGAUGCAACGCGAAGAACCUUACCUGGUCUUGACAUCCACGGAAGAAUCCAGAGAUGGGUGCCUUCGGGAGCCGUGAGACAGGUGCUGCAUGGCUGUCGUCAGCUCGUGUUGUGAAAUGUUGGGUUAAGUCCCGCAACGAGCGCAACCCUUAUCCUUUGUUGCCAGCGGUCCGGCCGGGAACUCAAAGGAGACUGCCAGUGAUAAACUGGAGGAAGGUGGGGAUGACGUCAAGUCAUCAUGGCCCUUACGACCAGGGCUACACACGUGCUACAAUGGCGCAUACAAAGAGAAGCGACCUCGCGAGAGCAAGCGGACCUCAUAAAGUGCGUCGUAGUCCGGAUUGGAGUCUGCAACUCGACUCCAUGAAGUCGGAAUCGCUAGUAAUCGUGGAUCAGAAUGCCACGGUGAAUACGUUCCCGGGCCUUGUACACACCGCCCGUCACACCAUGGGAGUGGGUUGCAAAAGAAGUAGGUAGCUUAACCUCCGGGAGGGCGCUUACCACUUUGUGAUUCAUGACUGGGGUGAAGUCGUAACAAGGUAACCGUAGGGGAACCUGCGGUUGGAUCACCUCCUUACCUGAAAGAA
This 1548-nucleotide ribosomal RNA is filed under the name Salmonella bongori CFSAN000510. RNAcentral describes it as "bacterial SSU rRNA". It matches the Rfam family "Bacterial small subunit ribosomal RNA". The record is from RNAcentral. Lineage: Bacteria; Pseudomonadati; Pseudomonadota; Gammaproteobacteria; Enterobacterales; Enterobacteriaceae.